CCAUCUAUCUAUAUACACACACAGUCUCACACAUGCACACACACACAGUCUCACACACAUGCACACACACAGAGUCUCGCACAUGCACACACACACACUAAACACAUUUGAAGGUGAGUUGUUGUUGUUGUUUUCUAUUAGCAGGCAAAUUAAUUGCACUCACAUCACUGACAUGUGGAUGUAUGCAGACAUGGUGAUGCGUGGUUUGAAUAUGAAAUUGAAAUUUCUAUGACACAGGUUGGAAUACGAAAUAAUAUCAGUGGUUGUUAUUAUUAACUUAACCAGCAUUAAGAAUUUGUGACCUGGCAGAGUUGUUAGCAAGCUGGACAAAAUGCCUAGCAAUGAUCUGAGUUCAAAUCCUGCUGAGGUUGACUUUACGUUUUUUUUUCCUUUCAGGGUUAGGAAACUAAGUACCAGUUGAGCAUGGAGGUUGAUGUUAUCAACUCAGCCCCUUCCCUAAAAUUUCAGGCCUUGUGCCUAAAGAGAAAGGGUUACAUUAACCAACAUUAAAUGAUCUGGCUUCUGUGGAUUAAAGGUGUAAUAGGAACUGAAAUCCGUUGAUGUCUCACAGUGUGUUUUGCAUUACGGAUUAUCUUCUUAUCUUUUAUCUUUAACUCGCUUCCAUCAUUGAACCGUGGCCAUACUGGGGCACUGCCUUGAAUGCUUUAACUGGACAAAUCUAGCCCAGUACUUACUAUUUAAGUUUGAUACUUAUUGUAGUGGUCUUUUGUUGAACUGCUAGGUUAUGGGAAUGUAAACAAACCAACAGCUGUUCUAUAUUUAAGAGAUGAGGAGUUGAUGCAAUCGACUAACCUCCUGCCCAAAGUUGCUGGCCUUGUGCCAGAAUUAGAAACCAAUAUUUACUUAUGCUCUCCUCUUGUAUUUUGAGUUCGUACUUUGCCUAGGUCAUCCUUGCCAGUCGUCCUUCCAGGUUCAAUAAAAUUAAGUAAUUGCCAAAUAGAGUGGUUCGUUUAAUCAACCGUACCUUUCCUGAAAAAUAUGUAUUUUUGUGCCAAAAUUAGAAAUCAAUAUUAUAUAUGUUAAAGAUCAUUGGAAAAUACUCAAUAAAAUAAUGGUUUAAAAUUUUCUAGAAUCUGACUGAUUAAUGACACUUAACAUUUGAAUGUUUCAGAAUAAUGUUUUCUUGGUGAUGAUGAUGUUCUAAAAACAGAAACAAUCCCUGUAAUAAUAGGUACAUUAGGUAUG
This 1206-nucleotide long non-coding RNA is filed under the name Octopus sinensis (East Asian common octopus). Its description in RNAcentral is "uncharacterized LOC118767210, transcript variant X1". Lineage: Eukaryota; Metazoa; Mollusca; Cephalopoda; Octopoda; Octopodidae. The record is from RNAcentral.